Molecule: unclassified non-coding RNA, 1904 nt
Filed under: uncultured fungus
Lineage: Eukaryota; Fungi
Description: sequence contains 18S rRNA gene, ITS1, 5.8S rRNA gene, ITS2, 28S rRNA gene
Rfam family: Eukaryotic large subunit ribosomal RNA (bases 669-1904)
Source: RNAcentral
GGAAGGAUCAUUACCAAAUUCAUAACGUAAACGAAAAGGGUUUCGUUAUCCUUUUUGUUUAUGUGAAUCCAAACAAAAAUCUAAGCGUUCUCGUUUUUCAAACGAAAACCGAAUUCAAAGCGAGCCUGGGGAUGAACUCGCUUUGAAGGAAUGCUUUAGAUUUAUAUGUUACCCCCACACACCUGGUUUCAUAGCUCUCACCUCUUUGUGGUUACCAGGACUAGUACUCGAGAAACGACGUUUCUUGAGGAAGCUAAAUGAGAAGUUAUUAACGCUUUGUCUUUUGACCAAAUCAUGAAAACCAAAUGAAAUUGAUGAAACGACAAACACUUUCAACAAUGGAUAUCUUGGUUCCCGUUUCGAUGAAGAACGUAGCAAACUGCGAUAAAUGACGUGAAUUGCAGAAUAAAGUGAAUCGUCGAGUUUUUGAAUGCACCCUGCACCUCGAGGGUCAAAAUCCUUGGGGUAUGCUUGGUUGAGUGUUACCAUAAUAUAUAAAUCAAAAUAAAUUUUUGAAGGUCUCGAACGAGUCCUUUGAAAUUUUACCGAACGCCAUGGCAACCUUAUUAUCAAAAAGGCCGUCACGAGAGGAAGAAAAAAUAGUGACAUUUUGAAACCCUCGAAUGAAGGUCGAUUGUAAUGAGAAGUUGUCUGAAACUUUCAUUAAUAUACCUCAACUCAAGCAAGACUACCCGCUGAAUUUAAGCAUAUUAAUAAGCGGAGGAAAAGAAAACAACAGUGAUUCCCCCAGUAACGGCGAGUGAACAGGGAAAAGCUCAGACUUAAAAUCUGGAAGUCUGGACCCGCAAGGGUUCAACGAAGGCUUCCCGAAUUGUAGUCUUUUGAGCAUUACCCCAUGGUUUCCUUUGUCAUGAAAAAGUUUCCUGGAACGGGACGGCAUAGAGGGUGAGACCCCCGUUUUCUUGACGAAGUGGAGCCAGUACAGUGGGUGGUGUUCAUCGAGUCAGGUUGCUUGAGAGUGCAGCCUAAAAUGGGUGGUAAACUCCACCUAAAGCUAAACAGGCAACGGGAGACCGAUAGCGAAAAAGUACCGCGAGGGAAAGAUGAAAAGUACUCUGAAAAGAGAGUAAAAAGUGCUUGAAAUUGUUGAAAGGGAAGCAUUUGGCCUUAGUGGCUGCCUUGCUCUUGGAGAGUGCAUCUAUGCUGCAAAGCAUGGGUGUUUACUUUCCAGGGGUGGUGGGCUGGCACUGGCUGAGUCCAGGCUUCAAGAAAGCCGAAAGAGCUGAAUCGCUUGAAUGGGUUUGAGCUUCGUAGGUGCAAUGACGUUGGGGCAACCCGACCGUCGCUGUCUGACGGAGCAAACGAUCCAUGAAUUUAACAAGCUCACGCUCACUCGACCAGUAGUUCUUGUCCCUUUCGUGCUCGACUCUUUUCUGCGGUUCUGGCGAGGUUCAACGUGCGAGACCCCCUUGCAUGUAUCCUUUGCAGAUUCCUGUGAGGGAGCAUGCGAGACCUUGCACUUGUGCAUUGUCAAACGAGUCGCCGAAUCAAGAGAGCAACGUGAAGGGAACGCAAAUCUUGCCAGCAAAAUAAGGUUAAAUGUCCCGUCUUGAAACACGGACCAAGGAGUCUAACAUGCACGCAAGCAUUUUGGUGAUGAAAACCAGAAAAUCCAUAAAAUGCGCAACGAAAGUGAAAAAGGUGGCCAGCUGGUUUCAGAAAUGGGGCCGGCCGCACCACUCACCCACUCAGAGGUACGUCCAAAACGAGUGAGAGUGAAAGUGUGCAUGAUAGGACCCGAAAGAUGGUGAACUAUGCUUGGGUAGGACAAAGCCAGGGGAAACCCUGGUGGAAGUUCGUAGCGAUACUGACGUGCAAAUCGUUCGUCAAACCUGUGCAUAGUGGCGAAAGACUAAUCGAACCAUUUAGUAGCUGGUUCCCUC